RNAcentral lists this long non-coding RNA (760 nucleotides) under Chlamydomonas reinhardtii. RNAcentral describes it as "long non-coding RNA (CREI_LNC001235)". Lineage: Eukaryota; Viridiplantae; Chlorophyta; Chlorophyceae; Chlamydomonadales; Chlamydomonadaceae. The record is from RNAcentral.
CUACGGGGUCACCAUUCUGGUUCACGCCACCGCCAGGGUUGAUUGCAGAGCUUGCAGGAGGAGGCGGAGGCGGAGAGCGGUUGGGGGGCGGCGGGCUGGGUGGGGGCGGCGGCGGAGGAGGAGGACGAGGAGGCGGCGGGCUGGGCGGCGGGGAAGGCGGCGGCGAAGUGGGCGGCGGGUUCGGCGAAGGAGGAGCAGGGCUGGGCGGGCGGGGGCUCGGGGGGUUGGGGCUGGGCGGGCGAGGCGAAGGCGGCGGGGGGGGAGGAGGCGAGGGGCUGGGCGGGGGCGGGCUCUGCUCCGUGCGGGCGGUCUUGGGCUUGGACAGCAGCGAGCAGGGCUUGCAGCGCUGGGAGCCCAGGUCCUCCGUGCACUGCUCCACCAGGUUGCCGCCGCCCAGGUCCAGGGGCGGGCAGGCCGUGCACUGGCGCACACCGGGGCGGUCGGCGAAGAAGUCGUAGGGGCACUUGUAGCAGCCGCGGGGGCCCUCAAACUCGUCGCCCAGGUUAUCCGCGUACGCUCCCGAGUAGGGACCGUAGUAACCUGGAAUGGUAGUGAGAGGAAGUAUGGCAAAGAUCAGCGACAGAGCUAUCACCAGGCACCGGCAGUAGUGCAAGAUCCAGGGUCAGCGACAACCGUCCCGUUUGUACCUGCAGCAGUGCCAGGUUACACCACCUACGCAACGAUCAUAAAAACUCACCACGAGGGCAGGCGCGGCAAGAGGUGGCCGAAUCAGGGGCGUUGGCGUAGAAGCCAGCCGCGC